AUUGAACGCUGGCGGCAUGCCUUACACAUGCAAGUCGAACGGAUUUUGGGGCUUGCUCCAAAGUUAGUGGCGAACGGGUGAGUAAAGCAUCGGAACGUACCCAGUCGUGGGGGAUAACGUAGCGAAAGUUACGCUAAUACCGCAUACGAUCUGAGGAUGAAAGCGGGGGACCUUCGGGCCUCGCGCGAUUGGAGCGGCCGAUGUCGGAUUAGCUAGUUGGUGAGGUAAAGGCUCACCAAGGCGACGAUCCGUAGCUGGUCUGAGAGGACGACCAGCCACACUGGGACUGAGACACGGCCCAGACUCCUACGGGAGGCAGCAGUGGGGAAUUUUGGACAAUGGGCGAAAGCCUGAUCCAGCCAUGCCGCGUGAGUGUAGAAGGCCUUCGGGUUGUAAAGCUCUUUCAGACGGAAAGAAAUCUCUCGGGUGAAUAUCCCGGGAGGAUGACGGUACCGUAAGAAGAAGCACCGGCUAACUACGUGCCAGCCACCGCGGUAA
RNAcentral lists this ribosomal RNA (498 nucleotides) under uncultured bacterium. RNAcentral describes it as "partial 16S ribosomal RNA". It matches the Rfam family "Bacterial small subunit ribosomal RNA", at positions 30 to 523 of the family's 1533-position model. The record is from RNAcentral.